Molecule: unclassified non-coding RNA, 9475 nt
Filed under: Haliotis rubra (blacklip abalone)
Lineage: Eukaryota; Metazoa; Mollusca; Gastropoda; Lepetellida; Haliotidae
Description: core histone macro-H2A.1-like, transcript variant X2
Source: RNAcentral
CCAGCUGUGUCCGUGCCUGCCCUACAAUCGGCUAAUAAUAGUGACUUAGUGUGUGCAUCGCAGGGAGAGGUUCGCCGAGCAGACAACAUGUCGGGUCGUGGUGGUAAAAAGAAACAGAAGAUAAUGUCGAGAUCUGCUCGAUCCGGGGUUCUUUUCCCAGUUGCCCGAAUGCUCCGCUACUUGAAGCGAGACACUCAUCACUUCCGUAUCGGGGCCGGAGCCCCCGUUUACAUGGCUGCCGUCAUCGAGUAUCUCACUGCUGAAAUCCUGGAGUUGGCUGGCAACGCGGCACGAGACAACAGGAAAGGGCGGGUAACUCCCCGACAUAUCCUCUUGGCAGUUGCCAAUGAUGAAGAACUGCACCAGUUGCUGAAGCACGUGACUAUUGCCGCAGGAGGCGUUUUACCAAAGAUACUUCCCGAGUUGAUAGGGAGGAAGAAGGGCAACAAGUUCCCCAACACCCUCCUCUCCAAACCUGUCGCAGCAGCUCCUCCCAAACCCAAGAAAGUAGUCAACAGCCCAAGUUCCUCCCCCAGUGCCAAAGUGGUGAAGAAACCUUCACCAAAGAAAGUUAGUGUUGUGUCAGUCAAAGGCAAGCCAAGCAAGGUCAAGGGAGGAAAGGUCAAGGUGAAUGCAGGGGACAGCACCAACACCAAGAUCGGCACCACUGACGCCAGCGGAUUUACCAUCCUGUCUGAGAAGAAACUCUUCCUGGGACAGAAGAUGACCGUGCUCCAGGGCGACAUCGUAAAGAUGACUGCUGAUGCCAUUGUCCACCCCACCAACUCCACAUACCACAUGGGUGGGGAAGUAGGUCAGGCAAUGGAGAAGGCUGGAGGAAAGGAAUUCCGUCAGGAGAUAGACAACCUUCAAACAGCCCACGGACCCAUUGAUACUGCAGGGGCUGUGAUCAGUCAAGGCUUCCACUUCCCAGCAAAGUAUGUUAUCCAUUGUAACGGCCCCACGUGGAAAAUGGAUAACCCGCAGCAAUUGCUGGAAAAAGCAGUCAAGAACUGUCUAACUUUGGCUGAUGAGAAAAACCUGAAAAGUCUGGCGUUCCCUUCUGUUGGAAGUGGACGUGCUGGCUUCCCGAAACAGACGGCAGCUCAGAUCAUCCUCCGUGCUAUCAGCAACUACUUCAUGACAGUGAUGACGAGCUCGCUGAAGCAGAUCUACUUCGUACUCUAUGACAUGGAGAGCAUUGGCAUAUACACCAGUGAAUUGGCGCGACUAGACUCCUAAUGUGCCAGUCAUGUCUUCAUUUCUUCAUCUUCUUGAAUGAAUCAUCUGACCUGUUUGCCUGGAUAGAUCAUUAACAUAUUUACAUCUCCACAACAAAUAGCUGAAGCUACAUGCUGUUUGGUUGUUGAUGAAACGAUACAGUGUACACACUGUUAAUGUGCUUUUUCAAUGACUAUGCAGAUCACAAUUCUCACAUUCAAGUUUUUCAUUUUAAACAUCUGCUUAAUAUACUGAACAAAAAAAUUAGGGAUCAUGAAUUUCAUCUUUAGUUAAUUGUGGGCUCACUUUCCUCAACUACAACGGGGUGGUGGGGUAGCCAAGUGGUUAAAGCAUUCGCUCACCACGCCGAAGACCUGGGUUCGAUUUCCCACAUAUGUACAAUGUGUGAAGCCGAUUUCUGGUAUCCCCUACCAUGAUAUUGCUGGAAUAUUGCCAAAAGCAGCGUAAAACUAAACUCACACACACUCCUCUACUAAAACAUAUCCCCGAACAGUAUAUGAUCCUGAAUUAUUUUUGUUUGGUAUAUAUCAACAAAUUUUAUGCAUUUGUGUUCGAUCACAGGGACUGUGUGUCAUCAUCAUCAUCAUCAUGACAUACGCCAUACUGUAUGUAGUCAAUCCAAGCACUCAUCUUCUAAAGAUCUCUAUCCAGGCAAGCAGAUCUGUCCUCAGACUGUGUUCAUGUAAAAUUUGUGUGAGUGAAAUUGAGGCCACACUUGCAAGGUCAAGGUCAUUAUAAAAUAUUUGAAGUUCCUGUUGCACUUUCAUACAACUUAUUCCAGUUAAAGACAUAAAACAAAUUAAAGAUUGGGUUAUUCAGUGGAGGAUAUUAAUGAUGUAUUUACGUGAGAGAAAAGUGAACAAUUAGUUUGAGUUAUAUAUGAAGACCUAAAUAUGUGAAGUUUAUUUUUACGAAUUUAUUAUAUACAAAUAAUUAUGUUAUUUAUGUCUUAAUAAGAUUAUUAAGAGGAAAAUAUUUUGAUUGUCUUAAGAAAUCUUUAUCUAUGUUUAAUGUGACCUUGAUCAUCUAAAUGUGGAUUUAUCGAGCUGUUUCUGUGCUUUCGACAAUUUUCUGAAGGGCAGCCUGUUAGUUAGGUUCUUUGAGAGGGAGACUCAUUUAGUUCAUUUUACGCCCAAUGUAAUCUGUUUUGGCGAAUGAUUGAGACUGGUUAUUGUCUGGCGUUGAUGUUUUAUAUUUACCCUGUACUAAUAUCAGUGUAAUAAUUCAUGCACUUGGUGGCUGCUUCCUCUCACGCACUGCAAACCAUGGCAUAGCCAUGUGCUAGCUUUAGUUCCACACAUAUGUUGUCAGUGUUUCACAUUAUCAUGAAAACAAAUGCAUCAUUGUCAUGCGAUUGCCCAGUACAACUGUUAUUUUAACAUUGAUCUUGCAUUCGAACAUUCUAGGUAUGUCACUGUUGUUGGGGGUUGUUAUUAUUUUAGGGGGGGGUGUCUUAAGAUCGUUUUUGUAUCAGAUUUCUGAUAAUGUGUUCAAGAUUUCCUGUUUUACUGAAAGAUUGUCUUUAUCAUAUAUCUAAUGAGUUUUUUAACAUGCUACAAACAUGAAGCGAGGGAACUAAUGAUUUGAACGUAGCUUUUAUCGAGGUAAACAUUUACGAAACUGUCGUAGCAUCUGAAUGCAACAUCUAAUCACAAUCAGAUUUCACAUCCUGCAUUAACAGUGUAUGAUACAUACAGAAGCCAGACUGUGUGCUUAUAGAGGAAAUCACAGUCACUUAUGCAUUUGAACUUUGCCCAUGAUGAAGAAUGUCUACGAGUAAGGAUGUGGCCCUUACAGGCUACCAUAGUUGGCAAAGGUGGGUUUGGCAUCACCAGGGAUGUGCCAUGUGUUUAACCAUGUUUUCAGAUGAAUCAGGGUUUUGUUUCUGAUACGAAGAUAACAGAAAAUCUUGCUGCGUCUGUUCCAUUCGCUGAAAUUAUUAACAGAAAUUUUGAACUGCAACUGAUUAUCUAGGUAUUUGGACAUUAAACUGGCCCUCUAAGUCUCGUCACAUUCCCCCAAUAGGGCAUCUGCUCUUCAAGCAGAGAGUGCCAAGCCCAUCCCAAUCCAACUAUGGUAAGCUGUUAGGGCCACACCUUUGUUUAGAGGCAAAUCUGUUUCCUGGAGAUUCAGAAUCCAUUGACAUGGUCCAACUUCGGGAAGCUCUUCAGGCAGGGAGGCGUGUUAUACCCAGGGCAACCAUAGGCAACCAUAGGCAACCAACAGCAUGCCAUUAAGAUUUCAUUUAGUGUAUGAAAUAAGCCAAAAAUCCAGCCAAAAAUGGAAUAUAACCAGACCAAAUAUGGUGAAUUUACUCAGAUGUAUGGAACAUCUAAAAAAUUUGACCAGACCAUCGGGCUGGCUAGCUGUAAAUUUUGACCGUCCAUCAGAAAUCUAGACUGUCUCGGGCGGUCAGAUGGGCCUUAUUUCUUACACUGUUUCAUUCAAGUAUUGCCCAACAUAAUGGACAAACCAGAUAUUGAUCUACAUGCCUGAAAUAUAUUUCACCCACAUUUGUCAUCAUUACAUGUUCCCUAUCAUUUCAUCAGUUCCCUUAUCUUUUUUCAGUAAGAUAUCCAAAAUAUCAAAAUAUUCAAAAUUUUCUUUCUGAAAAAAGAUAAAACUCAAAAAUAACAAUUUCUACUUUUUAUAGUUUCCAAUACAUGUAUGUCUUAAAUAAUUUUUGAGAUUGUAUCGGUUAAAGAUUUUAUAAGGAAUUAAGACAAAUUAAGGUAUCGAAAGCCAUAUGCUAAUUAUUUAAUAUUUUGAGAUGUCACUUGUUGUCAGGAUAACGCAAUGUGGACAUUAUUUCUUCAUUUUAGGUGCAAUUUUGUUUCCGUGAACACCACCACUGCCAAUACAUGCAGCAAAACUAUCACAUUACACAUUAUGUAACUUUCAUUAAGGGCUUAGUAAUCAGGUGAAACCUUUUACGUCAUCAGGGUUUGUUUUGUCCCAAUGCUGCUGACUAUUUGGUUCUUACGACCUUCAUCUGAGUUGUCAUCCUCGACCUUCCAGGGUAUACCUCCAGUCUAUUGUCAGUCAUGCCCGGGAACCCUCGCUAGCUUUAUUUAAGAAGUGACGUCGUCAGUGUUCAAUAACUUUGCGCAGAGUUCUUCUCACAAUGCUCGCAGAUGAAAUUUUAUUGGAUGGCUGUAUUUUGUAUCGCGUAUCUAGAAUCAGACGAGACGUUAUUAUGUCGAGCUUGAGAUUUUCCCAUACAGUUCUCAGGUCCAUAUUUGCUGUAUAGGUCCUUUGCCCUACAACCAUAUUGCUGAACAGCUUCCAGUUUCAUAUUAGGUUUACAUGAAUGACAAGUUACAAAAUUCCUGGAUAAAUAUUUCCUAUGUCUUAUCAUUAUGGAGGGGUGGAGGCAGACAGUGGUAAGAGUGUUUGCUUGUCAUGCCAAAAGUCCAGGUUCAGUUCCCACAUGGGUACAAUAUGUAAAGUUUAUAUUUCUGGUGUCUACUGAUAUUGAAGGAUUAUUAAGCAGUGUAAAACACUACUCAUAUGUCAUCAGUUAUCUAGAUUAGUGUGUAAUUGCUUUAAUUGAAUGAAUCAAAAUAAGUGAUAAAUAGUUUUUCAAAAUGUUCACAACCCAUGACCAUGUUUCGUUCUUUUUUAUUAAAAUUGGUUAUCCAUGUCAGUAGAAUUUUACAUUUCCAGGCAUAUUUGUUUGUUUGGCAUAAGUAAGCGGAAAUGGACAAAAGUUUCGGUAAAUCUAAAAUCAGAACUGGAACUGGAACUGUUCUGCUUCAGACCAUCCUUUCUACUGGUGUAUCGCUAAAAUAGCUUAUAGUGUAUUAUGAGCAGCUGUAUGCUAUAAUUGUGCAACAAUUAUCAGUGUAAUUAGUCACCUCUGUUCAGUGAAGGAACCGACCAUUUUAUAAUCUGGGAAGACUGUGAGGUAUGUUUCAGACAAAAUAUUUUGCCAUCAAAAAUAGUUUGCUGUGGAAGGAUGGGGCAAACAACUUUUUGAUAACACAUUAGGACAGCAAAAUGCCAUGCGAGCAAAUAAUUAACAAAAUUAUUGAUUAUCAAAAUUAUUUUUAUCCAGUAUUUUUUUUUUUCAAAUCCCAUAGCUCCCCAGGAUAUGGAAUGAAUGGUUCCUGAACUCCAAUAUUGAGAUAGUCUUGUAUUUAAUGACUGUGUUACGAUAGUGUCUACUGUAGAGGACUGCAUGUGUCUUUAUUUAUUUGUUGAGGUGAAUGAACAAUCUAGUGACCGAGCGGCACGAAUGUGUAUUCCAUCCCACAUGUUGUAUAUCACCCAUAUCUACCAUCGUCAAUCAUUACUCCAUGCAAGGCGAUAAUCAUGUGCCACAUUAACAUAUAUAUAUCCAUGCAUUAUCCUCUAUGGGGCGCCGACUCAGCGACUUCAUCCUCCACACUUGCCAAAGCUGUACGUCAGUAUCACUGCAGGAUCAAUACGUCAGAUGGUUUAAGUUUCUUUAAUGAUUUAAAUUUAAUAUUUUGGACCCUGGUUAAUCUGGACACUCAAUCUGGCAAAUCCAUUUUCCAGAUUGUGACUGUUACCAAUGUCUCUGUAUAAUUUAAGGAGUAUUCUCCGAGACUAGUUUCCCUGGAGAUGGUAUUUCAGAAAUUUUGACCAUCCUGAUUAAAAAGGUUUGGAUUGUGUUGGUGUGCGACGACUAUUGGCAGUGUGUUGGAUACAGAAGCUGUCUCGUUGCCCCCGUCAUCCUAGCCCAGUCCUGACAAACACUGUUGUGCCAAUGUAAGAUGAAGAUGUGCACUCUCUUUAUAAUUACAUCUUUACUUCAAAUGAUACCUCUACAUGAAGAUCAGACUCCCAAGAACUAAACCGUCCUACAGCAUCAAAGCUUCUAAAUUCUUGGUAAACAAAUCAUUCAGACGAAAUAUUUGAUGUCUGUAUUUUGAAAAUGAAUAUAAACAUCCAGUUUCAAAUAAUAGUGGCUGUAAAAUUGCGGUUGUGGAUAUAUAUAUUCUCUGUCUUUUCUGAUGCCAUGGCAUCUACACCAGCUAAUGAAAAUUUCUGUUGGUUACAUGACCAAAAUUUCUGAAUCAAAAUGGUAGAGAAUUGAAAUUAUGAAUAAAGUUAUGGAUUAAAAAAUGUUCGGCUGAAGAACCAUCCUUCAUUUAGAUUGGGAGGUGAUAGCGACUCAGCCUUCAUCUGACAAUCUGUGGAAGGGGGCGGUCAGGUACCCUAGUGGUUAAAGCGUUCGCUCGUCACGGGAUUUCUGGUGUCCCCCUGCUGAGAUAUUGCUGGAAUAUUGCUAAAAGCGGCGUAAAACUAAACUCACUCACUCACUCAAUCUGUGGAAGGGUUGUCUGACCUUCACCCUAAGGUAUCAUGUUGGAGUAAAUAAUCCGACUUCAGUGGAGUGCCGCAUUUGUAGUCUACAUUGGCAACAGGAUGGCAAAAAACUUGUACAUUAACUAUACACAUGAGCAAGUUUUAUGGGGGCCAUGGUUUUAUUGGACCACCAGUUACAUGAUAAGGUUUGUGUUUUCCGACUGCAAGAUACUGAUAUUAACAUGAUUAAUGCAUCUGACUAAUCAAGUCAAAGAUUGAUGAAUUAAUUGCACACGAGAUGAGUUAGCAAAUAACGUGUUCAGUAGUGUUCUUUUAUAUAAUAGAUGAUUUGGUCUUUCAUUCAUUUAUCAAUUUUCACUUUAAUUUUACAUAAGAACAAAAUGUUGUACAACAUUAUUUCCAGUUUAUAUACUUAUCUAAACCUUUUGUUGCUGGUAGAUUUGCAUCUUCAUUAUGCACGGUUUACAUUUUGCUAAUCUGCACCAAACUCUGAUCCACUCCUGAUAUUCUCUAAUCUCAAAUUACCUAUAUUUUCAGUAUCCAAUAUGCUAAUCUCCUCUCUACCAACCAAUCAGAGUGCAAGAUACAAACCAGCCUUUAUUUUUUAUUGUCAAUAUCAACGUCAUGGAGGCCAAUCCCAUUAAUUGGAAAAGUGUGAAUUAGAUAAAUUGAACUGAAAACCUGAGCGACAUGCUAUAGAAAGCCUUAAAAAGGUUUCGAUGGGAAGGAUGAAUUUGUGUCCAUUUAAUUUGGCAGUGGGAAGUGCCUUACCAUGUCCUUGCUGGUCUUAAUGAUUGAUUGGUCGGUAAAAUGUUUAUGAAAAUCAAGGGCAGAUAAUUUGAGAUUGGACGAACCACAUGAAUGAAUCCAGGGACCCUAUCCAGAAAGCUUUCAUAGCACUACCACACAUAAGCCAAUGAUGUAGCAUAGAGCUACGAUAGGUCAUAACAUUACAAACUCUUUGUGAAUCCGGACCCGGUGUUUUUACCAAAAUGUGAGCCCUGAAGAUACAGAAGAUUGUAGAUUUGUUGCAUCUAUUAUUAUUUCAUGUUUUUUCAACCUCUCAAAUAAGGAUCAACAGGAAUUUGGGAAAUAUCUUGAGAACAUGCAUCUUAACCACCAACAAAAUGGACCACAGUUUUUCAGCUCACCUAACAGAAAAUCAUCUGAGCUCCUGUUGGCCUGUUUGUCAUCCAUCAUAAUUUUCAUCAGAUACCACUGGACCAAUGAAGCUGAAAUUUCACAUUCUUGUUUUCACAAAUGAUGACUCAAAUAAUCUGCAACAGCAACCAUUUUGAAAACUCUUCUUGUGUUGAAAUGUAAUUUUGACCUCCAUUUUACCUUGCUUUUAAAAUUCUCUCAAAGGGCACAUUUUAUGUGGGAGCUGAACUUAAGCAUGUUUUGCCUUAUGAAGGGAUCAUAUUUUGUUCAAGCCAUUAAAGUGUAAGUUUUUAGUUUUUCGGUAUUUGAGCAGAUGUGUUUUUAACAUCCGUUUAGACAGAAGAAUGAUUUUAAAGGUCUGUUUUUGUUCACACUCGAAACUGUUUGCGACAUGUAGAUGAGCUACAGCUGUGUGGCAGUUAUAGUUCUUACCCCUCAGAGUACUGACUAGACCAUGAGUCAUGUGAAAGUUGGUCAGACAGACAAAAGUACAAGAUAUUUCACAAAACAUAUAUCUGUGUUUGAAUUGUAUUCUCGUCUCUCAUUACCAGUAGAGAGAGUGUUGUACAGUAUGGACUCGUUACUGUUUAAAUAAUCAGAAUGACAACAAUGGGCUACAAACAGUUAACAGCAUAAAAAGCAAUGUUCUUGUUGAUAUUUAUAGGAAAUAAUCCUUUUGUUUUGAAAUUAAUAUAUUUGAUCUUGUUGAUUUCAUCUGUGAUUUAUCCUUUAGCCAAUUUGUUAUAAUCGUAGAUAUUAAUUAGUUUUAGUGUUUUGUUAUAAAUUGAGAAUUACAAGCUUGGUAUAUUUAUCGUGUGAAAUAUAUUGUUAGACUAUUUUUCUGUGUGAUUAAUCCAUAGUCUGCGCAGGUUCUGUUUGAACUGAACACUACAGUCAAAGUUAAUUGUUAUGCAUAAUAUUAUUGGAUAUUUAUCCUUUUCAAGUCAUUUUAAACAAAUGAAAAGAACCCUCUAACAUGGAAGUGUUAAGUUUUAGUUUGUUGUUCAAGUUUCAAAUGUUGAUGGGAAUGAUUUGGAUGUCUGUCAGAUGUUACUGCUCUUUGCUUAAUCAAUGAAGGGAGAAAUUAUUGAAAUAACAUUUCCCAGUUUAGUCAAUACAUAUUAAUUGAGAUAUUUUGCUUCAGAAGCAAUAGGUUUAUUUAAAAAUAACAAUUAUUGUUAAAUAAAAAAGGGUGUUUUAAGAUUCUGCUGAAAUAGAACUAAUUCCUUUUUUGAACCAGUUACUGCUUAGAAAAUAAGUUAAAAACAAAAAUACUGCCUGACAGUUGAAUUCAUGGAUCUGCAGGGUGCGGUUAAUAUCGGCAGGUGGAAGAUUUGACCAGGGGCCAGUCUGUGACGUCAUCACUCACUGCUGACCUGUUUGUAGAUAUCGCACAUUGACAAAUACACAUAGAGCAUGAACUGCGUGUGCUCUUAUGUCACAUGCCACCGCAGACCCUAUGCAGUUGAAAUGGAUUCUUCCAUUGCAUGUGGAACACCUGUUGUCUCAGAACGCAGUGUUCACAUACAGUUAAGUAUGUUUAGUAGUGUGAGAAAAUAUUUCUUCUUCAGUGGCAAUAAGUAAUGAUAACGUUUUCACUCGAAUGAGUUGAUCUACUGUUGAUUAUCCUGCCUUGUUUCAGUGUGGAUACAGUAUUGUUUAGUGAGAAUCGUUUCAAGAGUGGUAUUGUUACAUUAGUCGUUGAUUGAGCCUUCAGUCUCGAUGUGCAGACUCCGCUUGGAUGGAUUGUGUAUGGUGGAAUAAAAUGGUAACAUCU